GCUGUCACUAUAGCCUACUAGCUUU
This 25-nucleotide small RNA is filed under the name Arabidopsis thaliana (thale cress). RNAcentral's name for it is "ATSL162910". The record is from RNAcentral. Lineage: Eukaryota; Viridiplantae; Streptophyta; Magnoliopsida; Brassicales; Brassicaceae.